Long non-coding RNA from Octopus sinensis (East Asian common octopus), 150 nucleotides. RefSeq lists it as uncharacterized. The transcript has 3 exons. The record is from RefSeq and is a predicted model, not a curated record. NCBI's taxonomy places the organism in Eukaryota, Metazoa, Mollusca, Cephalopoda, Octopoda, Octopodidae.
UGUAUAUAUAUGUAAAAUUCUCUGUCUGUCUGUUCUCUAUGCAUUUUCAAAGGGCUCAACCAAAUCAAAUCAAAUUUUACAACGUAAUAGUAUCAGACCCCGUGAGUGUCAACAUGUAAUUUGUUUUGCAUUUGGAUUAAAACAAUAUAA